Molecule: ribosomal RNA, 2627 nt
Filed under: Salmonella enterica subsp. enterica serovar Enteritidis
Lineage: Bacteria; Pseudomonadati; Pseudomonadota; Gammaproteobacteria; Enterobacterales; Enterobacteriaceae
Description: partial 23S ribosomal RNA
Rfam family: Bacterial large subunit ribosomal RNA
Source: RNAcentral
UCAUUAACUGAAUCCAUAGGUUAAUGAGGCGAACCGGGGGAACUGAAACAUCUAAGUACCCCGAGGAAAAGAAAUCAACCGAGAUUCCCCCAGUAGCGGCGAGCGAACGGGGAGGAGCCCAGAGCCUGAAUCAGCAUGUGUGUUAGUGGAAGCGUCUGGAAAGGCGCGCGAUACAGGGUGACAGCCCCGUACACAAAAGCGCAUGUGCUGUGAGCUCGAUGAGUAGGGCGGGACACGUGGUAUCCUGUCUGAAUAUGGGGGGACCAUCCUCCAAGGCUAAAUACUCCUGACUGACCGAUAGUGAACCAGUACCGUGAGGGAAAGGCGAAAAGAACCCCGGCGAGGGGAGUGAAAAAGAACCUGAAACCGUGUACGUACAAGCAGUGGGAGCACCCUUUGGGUGUGACUGCGUACCUUUUGUAUAAUGGGUCAGCGACUUAUAUUCUGUAGCAAGGUUAACCGAAUAGGGGAGCCGGAGGGAAACCGAGUCUUAAUUGGGCGUUAAGUUGCAGGGUAUAGACCCGAAACCCGGUGAUCUAGCCAUGGGCAGGUUGAAGGUUGGGUAACACUAACUGGAGGACCGAACCGACUAAUGUUGAAAAAUUAGCGGAUGACCUGUGGCUGGGGGUGAAAGGCCAAUCAAACCGGGAGAUAGCUGGUUCUCCCCGAAAGCUAUUUAGGUAGCGCCUCGUGAAUUCAUCUCCGGGGGUAGAGCACUGUUUCGGCUAGGGGGCCAUCCCGGCUUACCAACCCGAUGCAAACUGCGAAUACCGGAGAAUGUUAUCACGGGAGACACACGGCGGGUGCUAACGUCCGUCGUGAAGAGGGAAACAACCCAGACCGCCAGCUAAGGUCCCAAAGUCAUGGUUAAGUGGGAAACGAUGUGGGAAGGCCCAGACAGCCAGGAUGUUGGCUUAGAAGCAGCCAUCAUUUAAAGAAAGCGUAAUAGCUCACUGGUCGAGUCGGCCUGCGCGGAAGAUGUAACGGGGCUAAACCAUGCACCGAAGCUGCGGCAGCGACACUGUGUGUUGUUGGGUAGGGGAGCGUUCUGUAAGCCUGUGAAGGUGUGUCGUGAGGCAUGCUGGAGGUAUCAGAAGUGCGAAUGCUGACAUAAGUAACGAUAAAGCGGGUGAAAAGCCCGCUCGCCGGAAGACCAAGGGUUCCUGUCCAACGUUAAUCGGGGCAGGGUGAGUCGACCCCUAAGGCGAGGCCGAAAGGCGUAGUCGAUGGGAAACGGGUUAAUAUUCCCGUACUUGGUGUUACUGCGAAGGGGGGACGGAGAAGGCUAUGUUGGCCGGGCGACGGUUGUCCCGGUUUAAGCGUGUAGGUGUGUGUUCCAGGUAAAUCCGGUUCACUUUAACACUGAGGCGUGACGACGAGGCACUACGGUGCUGAAGCAACAAAUGCCCUGCUUCCAGGAAAAGCCUCUAAGCAUCAGGUAACAUCAAAUCGUACCCCAAACCGACACAGGUGGUCAGGUAGAGAAUACCAAGGCGCUUGAGAGAACUCGGGUGAAGGAACUAGGCAAAAUGGUGCCGUAACUUCGGGAGAAGGCACGCUGACACGUAGGUGAAGUGAUUUACUCAUGGAGCUGAAGUCAGUCGAAGAUACCAGCUGGCUGCAACUGUUUAUUAAAAACACAGCACUGUGCAAACACGAAAGUGGACGUAUACGGUGUGACGCCUGCCCGGUGCCGGAAGGUUAAUUGAUGGGGUCAGCGCAAGCGAAGCUCCUGAUCGAAGCCCCGGUAAACGGCGGCCGUAACUAUAACGGUCCUAAGGUAGCGAAAUUCCUUGUCGGGUAAGUUCCGACCUGCACGAAUGGCGUAAUGAUGGCCAGGCUGUCUCCACCCGAGACUCAGUGAAAUUGAACUCGCUGUGAAGAUGCAGUGUACCCGCGGCAAGACGGAAAGACCCCGUGAACCUUUACUAUAGCUUGACACUGAACAUUGAGCCUUGAUGUGUAGGAUAGGUGGGAGGCUUUGAAGUGUGGACGCCAGUCUGCAUGGAGCCGACCUUGAAAUACCACCCUUUAAUGUUUGAUGUUCUAACGUGGACCCGUUACCCGGGUUGCGGACAGUGUCUGGUGGGUAGUUUGACUGGGGCGGUCUCCUCCUAAAGAGUAACGGAGGAGCACGAAGGUUGGCUAAUCCUGGUCGGACAUCAGGAGGUUAGUGCAAUGGCAUAAGCCAGCUUGACUGCGAGCGUGACGGCGCGAGCAGGUGCGAAAGCAGGUCAUAGUGAUCCGGUGGUUCUGAAUGGAAGGGCCAUCGCUCAACGGAUAAAAGGUACUCCGGGGAUAACAGGCUGAUACCGCCCAAGAGUUCAUAUCGACGGCGGUGUUUGGCACCUCGAUGUCGGCUCAUCACAUCCUGGGGCUGAAGUAGGUCCCAAGGGUAUGGCUGUUCGCCAUUUAAAGUGGUACGCGAGCUGGGUUUAGAACGUCGUGAGACAGUUCGGUCCCUAUCUGCCGUGGGCGCUGGAGAACUGAGGGGGGCUGCUCCUAGUACGAGAGGACCGGAGUGGACGCAUCACUGGUGUUCGGGUUGUCAUGCCAAUGGCACUGCCCGGUAGCUAAAUGCGGAAGAGAUAAGUGCUGAAAGCAUCUAAGCACGAAACUUGCCCCGA